This 1580-nucleotide long non-coding RNA is filed under the name Apis mellifera (honey bee). RNAcentral's name for it is "uncharacterized LOC102654055, transcript variant X2". Lineage: Eukaryota; Metazoa; Arthropoda; Insecta; Hymenoptera; Apidae. The record is from RNAcentral.
AUUCAUCUCAUCACUUCUUGAGAGGAAGAAAAGGAAGAAAAAUGGAUCGAGGCAGAUAAUAAAAAGAAACACACCCAAUCCUCUUUGAUUCAUCAAACCUGGACUCACGAUGCUCGAAAUGAGUAGAAGCAGUUCGAAAUGGGGGAGCCAAGUUCUAAACUGUACUCCUGAAGUCGCCAAAUAUUCCGUGACUAUUCUUGCACUCGCCAGGCUUUGCCCAGCACUCGACUUUGGGCACUUUGCGGGCCGGAGAACUGAGCGCGAAUUCCGCCAUCUCUUCGCGUAAACUCUUCCUCCCACUCCUCGCUCCCGUGGAACCGAAUUCAACUCAAGUUGAAACUAUGUCGAGUCCCCUCACUUUUCCGCGUACCACGGCGUUAAACUGGUAUUAUAUCCCCGUGUCUUCGUUUGCGGGCAACCGUUUCAACCGGUUCAAGUCCUCGUCGCUUUAAUUCAUCCGCGUGCAUAACUCCGGUCCGGGAUUUUUCUUCUCUCGAGGAGCGAGACUCGAGACGAGUGGAUGGUUUUGGCAAUGCGCGGUCUGGCACGAGCGAGAAGUGUUGCUCAUGUUAUCUUAAACGCGGUAUAUUUAUCCGAGUUGUUAAUGUUGAAAUGAAGAAGUGGAGAGAGAGAGAAAGAGAGAAAGAGAGGGGAGAAGAGUUCGUUACUCGGUUACUUGGUUGCAAGUCUUUUGCUGGUUUCUUUUGAGAAACGACGUUCCUAUAAAUCUAGUUGGAGGGAAAGGAGACGUCCACGGGACGCAACGAGCGCAGACACGACAGACGCGAGCUCCUCGCGUGCUUCCGGUUGUAUGCACGCGCGCGCAUUGUUGCGCUGACGUGCCAGAGAUGAGAAAAACGAGAGGAGAGGGGGGGGGAAAAGCUGGCGUUUACGCGAAAGAGACGUGCGCCACAAACGGGACAGCAUAAUUCCACGCGAUGGUUGUCAAGUGUGGACAGAACGCACGUUCUCGAGGAUUGCAUCGACACUUGGAUAUAUAUCGUGCGAUCAACAUAGGAAUCGCGUUUCGAUAGUACAAGUCGUGGCGCAUGUUGGAACGUCGUUCUCGACAUCGAUACACGGACGAGAUAUCGUGCAAACAAAAGUCUCAUCGGGUUUUAUGCGGCUUAUAGCAAGGGAGGAAAAACUCUGAGAGUAUCCGAUUUCAUGUAUUCUAUGCGCAUCCAUUCACCAAGAUAAACAGAAUAUUUCUGAAGCAGCUCGGCCCGCCGGAUACUGUAAAAUAUCUAAGAAAAUGCGAUCGAAUCCGUGACGAGAAUAACUUUUUGGAUUAUUUUUAAAAGAGGAAAUUUCAUUUCUCUUCGGACAGAAAGUAAUUGGUCACCAACGUAAAAAUUUUUUAGACAUUUUUUUGGAAAACUUGAAAUAGUUAGAAAAUUUAAAAUUGGAUCCCAUUUAUUAUUAAAAAAAGGAACAACGUUAUUAUAAGAAUAAUUUUGUCUGCGUUAAAGAUUAUUAUUAAAGAAAAAUUUAAUAUGGAGGAUCAAUUCUAUUGAAUAUGGUUUUAUAAUACUUUAUGUAAUUGUAUAAAUUCUAUAUUUUAACAUAAUUAAUAAUUA